RNAcentral lists this ribosomal RNA (301 nucleotides) under uncultured bacterium. Its description in RNAcentral is "partial 16S ribosomal RNA". It matches the Rfam family "Bacterial small subunit ribosomal RNA", at positions 509 to 807 of the family's 1533-position model. The record is from RNAcentral.
CAGUAGCCGCGGGAAUACGUAGGGUGCAAGCGUUAAUAGGAAUUACUGGGCGUAAAGCGUGCGCAGGCGGUUAUAUAAGACAGAUGUGAAAUCCCCGGGCUCAAACUGGGAACUGCAUUUGUGACUGUAUAGCUAGAGUACGGCAGAGGGGGAUGGAAUUCCGCGUGUAGCAGUGAAAUGCGUAGAUAUGCGGAGGAACACCGAUGGCGAAGGCAAUCCCCUGGGCCUGUACUGACGCUCAUGCACGAAAGCGUGGGGAGCAAACAGGAUUAGAUACCCGUGUAGUCCCUGUCUCUUAUAC